UGGAUACCCUUACUACCUUCCUAAACAAUAAUUUGCUCUCAAUGAAAUCUUACUGAUGUUAAAGUUUAUGCCCCCUUACCCCCCUACUGAUUCUUUUUAUUUUCUACUAGUUGUAGCUAAGUGCGGUAAUUUUGUCAUCAAGUAGACUUUUCUAUAGUUCUACUAGGGUAGGUGUCUAUAGCUCGACUGUUGUAAUUUAAGGUAUGAAUAAUUGAAUUGCUCAGUGGGAUGUCAUUUCUUAUAGAAAUUGAAUC
This 254-nucleotide unclassified non-coding RNA is filed under the name Hevea brasiliensis (rubber tree). Lineage: Eukaryota; Viridiplantae; Streptophyta; Magnoliopsida; Malpighiales; Euphorbiaceae. The record is from RNAcentral.